Molecule: long non-coding RNA, 4717 nt
Organism: Gasterosteus aculeatus aculeatus (three-spined stickleback)
Lineage: Eukaryota; Metazoa; Chordata; Actinopteri; Perciformes; Gasterosteidae
Source: Ensembl
GCCGAUGCCUAAAAGAGGAGGUCGACUGGUGGGGACGCCGGCCCCGGCAAGAACGCAGGGAUGAGGAAAAGGAGGCGGGCCGGAAGGGAGAAAGGGGAUUGCGGCUUCCCACCGUUCUGCAGGAUCGUGAGAAAGGCGGCGAGGAUCGAGCCCAGCCGGGCCAGAGUGGGCUAAUUGAUCUAACCCGUUCCUACGGGGGGGGGUGGGGGGGGGGUCGGCAGGGGAGGGAUUUACCUCACCCGUAAUUAGGGAGGAUUUCUGACAGCAUGGCGGCUCACCGGGCCGAGAGCCCCAGCAGACGGAUCAAAUCCCCAAAUCACACUUUGUGUUUUUGUAAGCCGUCAAAAUCGGGACCUUGUGAGACUUUGAGUUUCUGAUUCCACAGAGAGAUCGAUUUAUAAUCCCCCGACUCGUACAGUGGUCCAUUUCCAGCAUAGCGCCGCAUUUACAUACAAGCUACUUCACCGCUACCAAUCGCCUCUAAAAGCGUCUCCAGAAUCAGCCGGAGUGUAACAUCCGGGGGAAGCACACGGAGGCACAGACUUCCUGCACUUGUUUGGAACAUUUGGAUCCAAACGGAGCUCGAGGAGGCGGAUCUGAGCGCCGUGAACUGGCUCCCUGAAGCCUCUUCUAUUUCAGGCCGAGAUAACCUGGUGGGUGGGGAGAGCGACCCGAGAGGGAAACGGUUCUGGGUAGAAUCCAGCAUCACUUCAGCUGCUGAUGGAAAUAGUGGAGACACCAAAGCACUUGUGCACAGGCAGGAGAGUCCACGCGCUUCAGCGUGUUUCACGCCGUUUCAUCAUGAAGGCUCAUGGUUGACCUUGGAAACAGCACAAGGUCACGAGGUCACAGAGGGGAACUCCAAUCAUCAAGUGAGGCGACCUUCCCUUCCGCCGACCUCCGAUGCUCCGUCUAAGUCUCUAAGUCGCUGAUAUCGCCUGAUCCGUGCACAGUGUGUGUGUGUGUGUGUGCGUGUGUGUGUGUAGAAGCACAAGGGGGGGGGGGGGGGGCUUGGCGGCUGCGAUCGAGUGUUGCCGCAGAGCCAAAUCGCCGUUACGCCGCUCCGUAAAUAAGACGGCGCCCGGUGCCAAGCGAGCGGCGUGGACGCGUGGGAGACGAAUGGCUGACAGUUAGCCGUGGCACGCGGGCCCGUCUGUCAGCGCCGUCGGCGGGUAAAUGGCACUUUGGGACAUCUGGGUCGGGCCCAGACGUCCUCUGCACGCCGCCCGCCUGCUGCUGUGGAAUUAUGGGUACUCCGGUUGGAGUGCGUGCGCGUCGGCUUCACCGCCUCAAGCGACACUUCCUGUUUGCUGAAAUGAAUCAAACGCGCCUCACAUCGGGGAAGUGUCAUCGGCUGAUCGGCGUCAUUGUUUGUAACGCGCGGCGUCCAGCGAGUCAGGACACGAGACGCUCGUCCUCCUUCCGUCUCUCCGCAUAUUAAACAUAUUCACGUGAAAAGGACUUUUGUCUCCGUACGCUGGAACGCCGCGUCGAGACAGAAAGGACGAGCGGCUCCGCUCACGUCGACGCGACCUUCGACCCCAUGCCGCAGCUUCACGAAGACGCUAAAGAACAUUCCAACCGGUCCGUCUAGAUUGAACGACCUCUGACCCUGCAGCUCGCCGGCAACUGGGAUGAAAAAAAGCCCAACUGCGAUGACCUUUGACCCGCCUCAUGUCGACGCCACAGUCGGCAUCGACGCCUCGGACUGAUUCUCUUCGUUUUGUCCUCUGCGGCUUCCGAAGGCGACGACAGUCGCUGAAAGGCUCCGACGAACGACUCGUGUUACGUUUGUUCGUCUCGAUCUACGUGCGUGUUUUUUGUUAAACGUUCCAGCCGGUUUUCCUCGCGUGGCGUCUCCGUCGAAGCUGCUGAGGCCUGAAAGCAUCAAACGAGUCGACUUCCUGUUGGCUGUUUAUUGUUUUAUUAUUUAUCAGACGUUUAUCUGUUAAAAUAAAAUACCAAUGUGGGUAUUUUAUCAAUGAAAGUCUUUUUUUAACAUCACUUAAACCCACUUUCAGUGUCUCUUAAAUAAAUAAAGUCUCUGUGCGGCAUCGUAAUGGCGUCUUGUGCGCUCGUGGAUGAAACCCGGGGGGGUCGGCCGUUUUUUUAUAUUUUAUUCCCCUCCGUCAACCGUCCUCUCUCGUCUACGGAGGACGAGGAGCGAGCGUUUCUCCAGGCUUCCUCAGGACGUCCAGUCGACCCAACAAAACAAAAGACGGUGAACUUCCUGUCAGCGGGGACGGACUUCCUGUCAGCGGGGACGCGAUGCCAAUCCGUCUUCUCGCCAGGUGAAGACGGAUUGUCCCUUAUGGGACGGACUCUGAGAACAACCUCCGGGUGUUUUGACACCUCUUCCUCUUCUCACAUCCUCGUCCUCACUCCGCCUCCCGUUGUUCGGCGAUGACGAGAUCCGCGUGACGACGGGCUGAAGGUCCCAUCUGGAGCACAUCCAUCUUCAGCGCUCCCCAACGGAGAGGAACUCCAUCAUCUCAAGGUGACUUCAUGUUUCUUUACUACAUUGCAGCACUUGGGAGGAAUAAACGCCACCGAUCCUUCCAGAUUGUUCCUACUGCUCCUCAACGUUUGUGAGCUGUAACACAAGAAAUGAGCAAAGUGGAGAGAAGUUCCUCCAUGAGCUGUGAGCAGAAUCUCCUGCCGCUUACUCGUCGUUUCAUGCUUCACAACAUUAACUGACUUUUCUUCUAAUUCCUUCUUGAGUGUCUUCACCUCACUUUUUUUUAGGCAGAUGCUCUCGUCAUCAACCAGCAGAACUUCCUCUUAAAGCCUCAACAAAAAGGAAUGAAUGGAUUUGCGCCACGUUGGCUCGUAGCUGGAAGUCAGUCUCUUAUUUUCCAUCCGUGCUUCUAUUGUCGGCCUCCGUGUUCUGAUGCCACUAGCAAAACAAAAACCACCCUCACUGGACCCGAGUCGGUCUCCGAGAGCAACAUCGAGGCUGUUUUGUCUCUGGAUGAAAACCACGCGCACACAGACGCGGGAAGUCUUCCAGGAGGAAGCGUGGAGGCGCUGCGGGGUCACCGGAGGUCACGGCCACCUGGGAGGCGUCCAUUGUGUGACUGAUGUUUCCCUGCAAACAGGAGCCGCUUACAUGGAGGCUGUUAUUCCAACUGCUGUCAUGGAAACCAACCAGCUGGAGGUCUCCAGAGAGUGUGUGUGUGUGUGUGUGUGUGUGUGCGCGUGUGUGUGUGUGUAAAUGGGGGUUUUACUUGAAGCUGCAGAGCACCGUUUCCCCUUUUGGCAAUAAGCAAGAAAGACCCCGAGUGUCUUUUUCUUUUUUCUUACGCUCACUGAAGGUUUAUAGUCAUUUAUACGCCGGGUGUGUCGUGGCUCCCGGCUGCUUCUAACCCGUUUAAACCCCCCAGUUAUUUUAUUUAUUUAUUCAUCGGUGGGGAAAAAACAACUUUAGUUUUUCCUUCCAAAUAGACGAGAUGCAUGAAAACAGGUCAGAUGGCUGCUGCAGUGUCUGUUUGGGGCUUGUUGGCAGGACGUCCAGUCUGGAGCUCCUAAUCGGCUGUUCACAAAACAAGUCAAAAUGGACCCUUGUUAGGCUGAGUGGGUAUUUUUAAACCCCAUUUCCUCAUGUUUGUGAGCGACGACCAAUCGACUAAAGGGGAAAACAGCUCCUCCAUGUCGCCUCGGGGCCACUGAAGAGCUACAGCGGGAGGAGAGAGGAGGAGGGAGGAGGAGAGAGGAGGAGGGAGGAGGAGAGCUGGUGUCAUCGGGAGGCCUCAGUGUUGAUCACUAUCUCCGUCUUUGUCAUUUAAUGCGGCGAGAAGAAGAAGAGCUGCUGAUCAUGGAGACGUUUUUUUUUAAUCCUCCGUCCGCAGAGGUGAUGUCAUCGUCUGCACUUUAUUCUGUCGGCUCGUGCUUUUUACAGGGUCGAAGCUGUACAUCACAGACCGAGCCGUGACUCCCCCACUGUCACCCCUCCACCUCCCACAGGUCCAUCGGGGAGGACCAGGAGAAACACCCGAGGCUGUCACUGUUUCAUCUUCGUUAAAUCUGUCCGUCCACAGUGCAGUCAGAGGGUCUUUACAGCGUCAGCGUCUCCGUCUGCAAAGGAAUCAAUGUGCAGCAACUCGUAGAUUUCGAGAGCCAAAAUAUGCUGAACGACCUUCUCAGUCAAAUCAUCUUCAUCUGUUCAUAUUUCUGUCCACCCGAUAAAUGCCAAUAUUGUCUGAUUUUUUUGCCCGUUUUUGGUCUCCUCCUCGUGAGCGAGACGUCUGCUCCACUUUGUUUCUCUGUCCGAGCAGGUGAUGUUCAGGGGCUCGAUCAUGUUAGCUGGAAACCUCUUAUUCAAACCGAUUACUUCCUGGACAGAAAAUGAAUUAUAAACUGCAGCUCUGGGAGAAAGACGGUUCAACCUUCAGCAGCUCAUUUCAGUCAUGCUUCUGUCAUUUUCAGUGAGCUUUUCAUUUCAUCAGCUCAUAAUGAGGUCAAUGCAACAAGUACCGUAGCUCCAUCUCAGCUGAAUGUUUAAUCUCAUCCACCUAAACGCAUCCAAAAUAAAACGAUUGCAAGUAUUGAACAUGCAAAUAUUGUAUAUUAAAGCCUUUUUACUAAAUAAAAGCUGAGGUUAAAGUAUCUUGAAGCUGCAUUCUGUGUAGUGACCAGCAGGGGGCGACUCCUCUGCUCCCAUAGACGUCUAUGAGGAAAUGACUCUACUUCUCUGUAGUGACCAGCAGGGGGCGACUCC